This 261-nucleotide ribosomal RNA is filed under the name uncultured prokaryote. Its description in RNAcentral is "partial 16S ribosomal RNA". It matches the Rfam family "Bacterial small subunit ribosomal RNA", at positions 524 to 784 of the family's 1533-position model. The record is from RNAcentral.
UACGGAGGAUCCGAGCGUUAUCCGGAUUUAUUGGGUUUAAAGGGUGCGUAGGCGGAAAUGUAAGUCAGUGGUAAAAUCCUGCAGCUUAACUGUAGAAUAGCCGUUGAAACUGUGUUUCUUGAGUACAUUUGAGGUAGGCGGAAUGUGGUGUGUAGCGGUGAAAUGCAUAGAUAUACCACAGAACACCGAUUGCGAAGGCAGCUUACUAAACUGUCACUGACGCUGAUGCACGAAAGCGUGGGUAUCAAACAGGAUUAGAUA